RNAcentral lists this ribosomal RNA (252 nucleotides) under uncultured bacterium. Its description in RNAcentral is "partial 16S ribosomal RNA". It matches the Rfam family "Bacterial small subunit ribosomal RNA", at positions 524 to 776 of the family's 1533-position model. The record is from RNAcentral.
UACGUAGGUGGCGAGCGUUAUCCGGAUUCAUUGGGCGUAAAGCGCGCGUAGGCGGCCGCCUAAGCGGAACCUCUAACCCCGGGGCUCAGCCUCGGGCCGGGUUCCGGACUGGGCGGCUCGAGUGCGGUAGAGGAGAGCGGAAUUCCCGGUGUAGCGGUGGAAUGCGCAGAUAUCGGGAAGAACACCGAUGGCGAAGGCAGCUCUCUGGGCCGUCACUGACGCUGAGGCGCGAAAGCUGGGGGAGCGAACAGG